RNAcentral lists this ribosomal RNA (484 nucleotides) under uncultured bacterium. RNAcentral's name for it is "partial 16S ribosomal RNA". It matches the Rfam family "Bacterial small subunit ribosomal RNA", at positions 29 to 507 of the family's 1533-position model. The record is from RNAcentral.
AUUGAACGCUGGCGGCAUGCUUUACACAUGCAAGUCGAACGGCAGCGCAGGCUUCGGCCUGGCGGCGAGUGGCGAACGGGUGAGUAAUACAUCGGAACGUGCCCAGUAGUGGGGGAUAGCUCGGCGAAAGCCGGAUUAAUACCGCAUACGACCUGAGGGUGAAAGCGGGGGAUCUUCGGACCUCGCGCUAUUGGAGCGGCCGAUGGCAGAUUAGCUAGUUGGUGGGGUAAAGGCCUACCAAGGCGACGAUCUGUAGCUGGUCUGAGAGGACGACCAGCCACACUGGGACUGAGACACGGCCCAGACUCCUACGGGAGGCAGCAGUGGGGAAUUUUGGACAAUGGGCGAAAGCCUGAUCCAGCAAUGCCGCGUGUGUGAUGAAGGCCUUCGGGUUGUAAAGCACUUUUGGCGGGAACGAAAAGGACUGUGCCAAUACCACGGUUCGAUGACGGUACCCGCAGAAUAAGCACCGGCUAACUACGUG